ACGCUCGACACCUACGGGAGGUAGCAGUGGGGAAUAUUGCACAAUGGGGGAAACCCUGAUGCAGCGACGCCGCGUGAGUGAAGAAGUAUUUCGGUAUGUAAAGCUCUAUCAGCAGGGAAGAGAAUGACGGUACCUGACUAAGAAGCCCCGGCUAACUACGUGCCANNCGCGAUNUGAGCGGGCGUGGCGAAGGACG
Molecule: ribosomal RNA, 196 nt
Filed under: uncultured bacterium
Lineage: Bacteria
Description: partial 16S ribosomal RNA
Rfam family: Bacterial small subunit ribosomal RNA
Source: RNAcentral